This 336-nucleotide long non-coding RNA is filed under the name Apteryx rowi (Okarito brown kiwi). RNAcentral describes it as "lncRNA (ENSARWG00000018416.1)". Lineage: Eukaryota; Metazoa; Chordata; Aves; Apterygiformes; Apterygidae. The record is from RNAcentral.
GAUUUCUACUUGAUUGGCUACAAAUCAGGUGGAGUCAUGGCUCCUGAGACAAGUAACCUACUGAAAUCCAUGAGAGGCACCGGAGCGAGUUCAUUGUAAUGAAGGUGAGCCCCAUCCACCUGCAGGACUGUGCUCCACCACCUCUCGCUCACAUGGUCCCGCACAGCUCACCCCACCACCAUCAGCCCAACUGCUCGUAAUCCGGCUGCUGGAACGAAGUGGCAGAUGGAAGAGGUUCUAAGAAGCCCCUGUUCAGACAUGAUACAAAGAAACUCCCGGAGGCCCCAAAGUGAGUGCUUGGGCUGGCCAUUGGACACUUUCACGGGAAGAAACUGA